This 593-nucleotide long non-coding RNA is filed under the name Homo sapiens (human). Its description in RNAcentral is "HSALNT0021946". Lineage: Eukaryota; Metazoa; Chordata; Mammalia; Primates; Hominidae. The record is from RNAcentral.
GUGCGGGCUCAUCACCGAGGCGGUCGGGGAAGGUGUGAUUAUGAAAAUAAACAAGGGAAGUGAGGGAAAUAUAACCAAGUGGAAAAAGGAAAUGGAGUGCAAAUUGAGAACAUAAUCCAGAAUUCGUAAAAGUGGUAUGGAUAAAGAAGGUCAAAAUGGUCUCUGAUGAAAAGAAACUUUUAAAAUGCUUGGAAAAGUUAAUGAAUUAGAUUUCCCUGCACUUGAAGAUAUUAGGAUUGGGAGAUCAAGACUCCCAUCAGCCAAAUCAAGAAUAUUCACAAUUGACAGGAAAACUCAAAGUUUCUUUUUCCCCACCAGAGAAAUGUCUCCCACCCCCAUAGCUAAACAGUGAAAUCCGAAGUGGGUAGAGCGUGCCUUUUUUUUUUCUUUGAGGCAAGUUUUUGAAUCGUGCGCUGGAGGUGAAAAAGAAAUGAUUUCAGAAUAGUGAACAUUUACAAAUAAAAAUGUGUCUACUACGCAAUGAGGAAUUUUAAAUUUGCAGUGAAAGUCUGACAUCUGGUGGUCAGAAAGAGGAGCAUCAGAAGAGGAGGCUAUUGUAAAAUUUCUAUUGGCUUUCAUAAAAUAAAAACCAA